This 259-nucleotide ribosomal RNA is filed under the name uncultured bacterium. Its description in RNAcentral is "partial 16S ribosomal RNA". It matches the Rfam family "Bacterial small subunit ribosomal RNA", at positions 95 to 354 of the family's 1533-position model. The record is from RNAcentral.
UUGGCGACGGGGUGAGUAACGCGUGGAUAACCUGCCGUAUACCGGGGGAUAACACUUAGAAAUAGGUGCUAAUACCGCAUAAGCGCACGGCUCCGCAUGGGGCAGUGUGAAAAAUUCCGGUGGUAUACGAUGGAUCCGCGUCUGAUUAGCUAGUUGGCGGGGUAACGGCCCACCAAGGCAGCGAUCAGUAGCCAGCCUGAGAGGGUGGACGACCACAUUGGGACUGAGACACGGCCCAAACUCCUACGGAAGGCAGCAG